This 494-nucleotide ribosomal RNA is filed under the name uncultured bacterium. RNAcentral's name for it is "partial 16S ribosomal RNA". It matches the Rfam family "Bacterial small subunit ribosomal RNA", at positions 28 to 507 of the family's 1533-position model. The record is from RNAcentral.
GACGAACGCUGGCGGCGUGCUUAACACAUGCAAGUCGAACGGUGAAGCGCCUUCCUUUUUGGUGGGUGUGGAUGAGUGGCGAACGGGUGAGUAACACGUGAGUAACCUGCCCCCUUCUUCAGGAUAACCGCAUGAAAGUGUGGCUAAUACGGGAUAUUCUGGGUCUGUAGCAUGAUGGGUCUGGGAAAGAUAUUGGUUCGGUGGGGGAUGGGCUCGCGGCCUAUCAGCUUGUUGGGGGGGUGAUGGCCUAGCAGGGCUGUGGCGGGUAGACGGCCUGAGGGGGUGGACGGCCACACUGGGACUGAGACCCGGCCGAGACUGAUACGAGAGGCAGCCGGGGAGAAUAUUGCAAAAUGGGGGCAAGACUGCUACAGCGUCGCCGCGUAAGGGAUGGAGGCCUUCGGGUUGUGAGCCUCUUUCGGCAGUGAAGCAGGCCUGCCUCGUUUGUGGGUGGAUUGACGGUAGCUGGAUAAGAAGCGCCGGCUAACUACGUG